GUACCAGUCACUUUGGCAAAUCCGGGUGGCAAUGGGAAGCCGUGAUGCGGAGCGAAAUAAAGUAGCGAAGUCCGUGAGCCAUGCGUCAAGAAAAGCCGCUAUCGUUUAUACCGUACCCGUACCGUAAACCGACACAGGUGGAUGAGGAGAGAAUCCUAAGGCCGGCGGAAGAAGCAUUGUCAAGGAACUCGGCAAAAUGGCCCCGUAACUUAGGGAUAAGGGGUGCCUGGGAAACCAGGCCGCAGAGAAUAGGCUCAAGCAACUGUUUAGCAAAACACAGGUCUAUGCGAAACCGUAAGGUGAGGUAUAUGGGCUGACGCCUGCCCGGUGCUGGAAGGUUAAGAGGAGAGGUUAGCAGUAACGCGAAGCUUUGAAUUUAAGCCCCAGUAAACGGCGGCCGUAACAAUAACGGUCCUAAGGUAGCGAAAUUCCUUGUCGGGUAAGUUCCGACCCGCACGAAAGGCGUAAUGAUUUGAGCGCUGUCUCGACAAUGCAUCCGGUGAAAUUGAAGUACCAGUGAAGAUGCUGGUUACCUGCGCCAGGACGGAAAGACCCCAUGGAGCUUUACUCCAGUCUGGUACUGGGACUCGGUAUUGCAUGUACAGGAUAGGUGGGAGGCUAGGAGAUGGUAACGCCAGUUGCCAUGGAGCCGCUGUUGGGAUACCACCCUUGCAGUAUUGGGUUUCUAACCAGCCGCCGUGACCCGGCGGUGGGACAAUGCCAGACGGGGAGUUUGACUGGGGCGGUCGCCUCCGAAAGGGUAUCGGAGGCGCCCAAAGGUUCCCUCAGAAUGGACGGAAACCAUUCGAAGAGUGCAAAGGCAGAGGGGAGCUUGACUGCGACACCGACGGGUGGAGCAGGUACGAAAGUAGGGCUUAGUGAUCCGGUGGUAUUAAGUGGGAAUGCCAUCGCUCAACGGAUAAAAGCUACCCUGGGGAUAACAGGCUUAUCACUCCCAAGAGUUCACAUCGACGGAGUGGUUUGGCACCUCGAUGUCGGCUCAUCGCAUCCUGGGGCUGUAGUAGGUCCCAAGGGUUGGGCUGUUCGCCCAUUAAAGCGGUACGCGAGCUGGGUUCAGAACGUCGUGAGACAGUUCGGUCCCUAUCCGGCGUGGGCGUAGGAUAUCUGAGAGGAGCUGUCCUUAGUACGAGAGGACCGGGAUGGACGGGCCGCUGGUGCAUCGGUUAGACUGCCAAGUCUACGGCCGAGUAGCCAAGCCCGGAAGGGAUAAACGCUGAAGGCAUCUAAGCGUGAAGCCCCCCUUAAGAUGAGAUAUCCCAUUCGUUAAGAAGUAAACCCCCUUGAAGACGACGAGGUAGAUAGGGCAGAGGUGGAAGUGCAGUAAUGCAUGGAGCUGACUGUUACUAAUCGGGUGAGGGCUUGACCG
This 1387-nucleotide ribosomal RNA is filed under the name metagenome. RNAcentral describes it as "bacterial LSU rRNA". It matches the Rfam family "Bacterial large subunit ribosomal RNA", at positions 1520 to 2925 of the family's 2925-position model. The record is from RNAcentral.